AGUGAACGCUGGCGGUAGGCCUAACACAUGCAAGUCGAACGGCAGCACAGUAAGAGCUUGCUCUUACGGGUGGCGAGUGGCGGACGGGUGAGGAAUACAUCGGAAUCUACUUUUUCGUGGGGGAUAACGUAGGGAAACUUACGCUAAUACCGCAUACGACCUACGGGUGAAAGCAGGGGAUCUUCGGACCUUGCGCGAUUGAAUGAGCCGAUGUCGGAUUAGCUAGUUGGCGGGGUAAAGGCCCACCAAGGCGACGAUCCGUAGCUGGUCUGAGAGGAUGAUCAACCACACUGGAACUGAGACACGGUCCAGACUCCUACGGGAGGCAGCAGUGGGGAAUAUUGGACAAUGGGCGCAAGCCUGAUCCAGCCAUACCGCGUGGGUGAAGAAGGCCUUCGGGUUGUAAAGCCCUUUUGUUGGGAAAGAAAAGCAGCAGGUUAAUACCCCGCUGUUCUGACGGUACCCAAAGAAUAAGCACCGGCUAACUUCGG
Molecule: ribosomal RNA, 491 nt
Filed under: uncultured bacterium
Lineage: Bacteria
Description: partial 16S ribosomal RNA
Rfam family: Bacterial small subunit ribosomal RNA
Source: RNAcentral